This 406-nucleotide ribosomal RNA is filed under the name uncultured bacterium. RNAcentral describes it as "bacterial SSU rRNA". It matches the Rfam family "Bacterial small subunit ribosomal RNA", at positions 356 to 774 of the family's 1533-position model. The record is from RNAcentral.
GGGGAAUAUUGCACAAUGGGCGCAAGCCUGAUGCAGCAACGCCGCGUGAGGGACGACGGCCUUCGGGUUGUAAACCUCUUUUGGCAGGGAAGAAGCGAAAGUGACGGUACCUGCAGAAAAAGCACCGGCUAACUACGUGCCAGCAGCCGCGGUGAUACGUAGGGUGCAAGCGUUGUCCGGAAUUAUUGGGCGUAAAGAGCUCGUAGGCGGUUUGUCGCGUCUGCUGUGAAAACCCGAGGCUCAACCUCGGGCCUGCAGUGGGUACGGGCAAACUAGAGUGCGGUAGGGGAGAGUGGAAUUCCUGGUGUAGCGGUGGAAUGCGCAGAUAUCAGGAGGAACACCGAUGGCGAAGGCAGAUCUCUGGGCCGUAACUGACGCUGAGGAGCGAAAGCAUGGGGAGCGAACA